GACGAACGCUUGGCGGCAGGCCUAACACAUGCAAGUCGAGCGAGACCUUCGGGUCUAGCGGCGGACGGGUGAGUAACGCGUGGGAAUAUGCCCUUCGGUUCGGAAUAGCCCCGGGAAACUGGGAGUAAUACCGGAUACGGUCUACGGACGAAAGAUUUAUCGCCGAAGGAUUAGCCCGCGUUGGAUUAGGUAGUUGGUGGGGUAAUGGCCUACCAAGCCGACGAUCCAUAGCUGGUUUGAGAGGAUGAUCAGCCACACUGGGACUGAGACACGGCCCAGACUCCUACGGGAGGCAGCAGUGGGGAAUCUUAGACAAUGGGGGAAACCCUGAUCUAGCCAUGCCGCGUGAGCGAUGAAGGCCUUAGGGUUGUAAAGCUCUUUCAGCGGGGAAGAUAAUGACUGUACCCGCAGAAGAAGCCCCGGCUAACUCCGUG
Molecule: ribosomal RNA, 434 nt
Filed under: uncultured bacterium
Lineage: Bacteria
Description: bacterial SSU rRNA
Rfam family: Bacterial small subunit ribosomal RNA
Source: RNAcentral